GUGAAUCAUCGAAUCUUUGAACGCACCUUGCGCUCCUUGGUAUUCCGAGGAGCAUGCCUGUUUGAGUGUCAUUAAAUUCUCAACCUCACCAACUUUGUUGUGUGCAGGCUUGGAUGUGGGGGUUGCAGGUCCACUCUCGUGGUCUGCUCCUCUGAAAUGUAUUAGUGGGUUGUGCCCCUAAUCUAUUGGUGUGAUAAUUAUCUACGCCGUGGAUUGGGUUGGUUACUUGAAGACCUGCUUCUAACCGUCCCUUGGACAACUUUUGACAAUUUUGACCUCAAAUCAGGCAAGACUACCCGC
Molecule: unclassified non-coding RNA, 300 nt
Filed under: uncultured Coprinopsis
Lineage: Eukaryota; Fungi; Basidiomycota; Agaricomycetes; Agaricales; Psathyrellaceae
Description: sequence contains 5.8S rRNA gene, ITS2
Rfam family: 5.8S ribosomal RNA (bases 1-71)
Source: RNAcentral